This is a long non-coding RNA of Neodiprion virginianus, 332 nucleotides long. RefSeq lists it as uncharacterized. The record is from RefSeq and is a predicted model, not a curated record. The transcript is spliced from 2 exons. Lineage: Eukaryota; Metazoa; Arthropoda; Insecta; Hymenoptera; Diprionidae.
CUGGCGCGACGUAAGAGAUAUACAAUAUACGUUAUUUCUACCACAAGCUGUUAGGAGAGAGAAACGAAAAACGCGAUUCGAGGACCUUUUCAGAACCUCAAGGACUUUCAGGACCACUGGACACCACGUUGACGCGACGAGACGAUAUUUUGUAGAGAAGAGUAAGCGGGCAUCGGCAGCCUGCGAUGCGAUGUGCGAACUACAAGAUUUCUAGUCACGAGAAGAAGACCGCUUGACGUAAAUGGAAGUCCGUCAGUCUGCAUUUGAAUGAAGUUGUACAACGUUGAACGAUCGCUAAUAAAUUCCCCAGGGACGAUAUGUAUACCAACCAA